GAUGAAGAACGCAGCGAAAUGCGAUAAGUAAUGUGAAUUGCAGAAUUCAGUGAAUCAUCGAAUCUUUGAACGCACCUUGCACCCUUUGGCAUUCCGAAGGGUAUGCUCGUUUGAGUGUCAUUGUACUCUCACACUUCCGAUCUUUGGAUUGGGAGCGGUGGACUUGGGUGUUGCUGCUUACUGUGGCUCACCUCAAAUCGAUUCGUGCACCUCUUGGUUGGACAUAGUACGGCGUGAUAAGUGUCUUCGCCGGCACCUCAGUAGAGGGUGGCUGAUCGGNAGCUCUGCUUCAAACCGUCCUCGGACAACAACUGACAACUUGACCUCAAAUCGAGUAGGACUACCCGCUGAACUUAAGCAUAUCAAUAAGCGGAGGA
Molecule: unclassified non-coding RNA, 377 nt
Filed under: soil metagenome
Description: partial contains 5.8S ribosomal RNA, internal transcribed spacer 2, and large subunit ribosomal RNA
Rfam family: 5.8S ribosomal RNA (bases 1-120)
Source: RNAcentral